AUAUGCUUAGAAAAUCGUAUCCAUUGCCCUCCGAAGGCAGAGGCCACAGGUUCGAAUCCUGUCGGGUGCGCCA
This 73-nucleotide transfer RNA is filed under the name Hyphomicrobiales bacterium. Its description in RNAcentral is "Rhizobiales bacterium tRNA-Arg". It matches the Rfam family "tRNA", at positions 12 to 71 of the family's 71-position model. From Rfam's summary of the family: Transfer RNA (tRNA) molecules are approximately 80 nucleotides in length. The record is from RNAcentral. Lineage: Bacteria; Pseudomonadati; Pseudomonadota; Alphaproteobacteria; Hyphomicrobiales.